UCAGGAUUCACCCUGCACCCAGCUGCGGUCCCUAGUGAGUGCUGUUUCUCUCUGCUGCAGAAACAUUCCAGGGUGCCGUGCUUACCUUGGCCUGGCAGGGGUGAUGCAACAGCCCAGGGACACCCUG
This is a small nucleolar RNA of Rhinolophus ferrumequinum (greater horseshoe bat), 127 nucleotides long. The record is from Ensembl. NCBI's taxonomy places the organism in Eukaryota, Metazoa, Chordata, Mammalia, Chiroptera, Rhinolophidae.